CCUACGGGAGGCUGCAGUGGGGAAUAUUGGACAAUGGGGGCAACCCUGAUCCAGCCAUGCCGCGUGUGUGAAGAAGGCCCUCGGGUUGUAAAGCACUUUCAGUGAGGAAGAACGCCUGGUGGUUAAUACCCAUCAGGAAAGACAUCACUCACAGAAGAAGCACCGGCUAACUCCGUGCCAGCAGCCGCGGUAAUACGGAGGGUGCGAGCGUUAAUCGGAAUUACUGGGCGUAAAGCGCGCGUAUGUGGCUUGAUAAGCCGGUUGUGAAAGCCCCGGGCUCAACCUGGGAACGGCAUCCGGAACUGUCAAGCUAGAGUGCAGGAGAGGAAGGUAGAAUUCCCGGUGUAGCGGUGAAAUGCGUAGAGAUCGGGAGGAAUACCAGUGGCGAAGGCGGCCUUCUGGACUGACACUGACACUGAGGUGCGAAAGCGUGGGUAGCAAACAGGAUUAGAUACCCCAGUAGUC
This 465-nucleotide ribosomal RNA is filed under the name Vreelandella stevensii. Its description in RNAcentral is "partial 16S ribosomal RNA". It matches the Rfam family "Bacterial small subunit ribosomal RNA", at positions 338 to 795 of the family's 1533-position model. Lineage: Bacteria; Pseudomonadati; Pseudomonadota; Gammaproteobacteria; Oceanospirillales; Halomonadaceae. The record is from RNAcentral.